Molecule: non-coding RNA, 88 nt
Organism: Mycena leptocephala
Lineage: Eukaryota; Fungi; Basidiomycota; Agaricomycetes; Agaricales; Mycenaceae
Source: the annotation of a GenBank genome assembly
GCCCUCGUUGAGUGGUGAUCACCUACUAGUCUUAUAUAGGUUGAUAGCACUAAAAUGGGAGGUGGGGGUUCGACUCCCCCCGAGGGUA